RNAcentral lists this long non-coding RNA (678 nucleotides) under Phoenix dactylifera (date palm). RNAcentral describes it as "long non-coding RNA (PDAC_LNC003786)". Lineage: Eukaryota; Viridiplantae; Streptophyta; Magnoliopsida; Arecales; Arecaceae. The record is from RNAcentral.
CAACAAUCGUAAAAGUAAUACCAUAUUUAAAUAGAAGCAAAAUUAGGUUUAUAAAUAUUCAAAAAACUCUCUGAAUAUGUGAACAUGUCAUAUUUCUAUCAGGUCCAAAAUCAAAGAAUCCAAGAUGUACAAGUAAAAAUAUGCUUUACUGAAACAUUCAUAGAUGAUCACAUUUUUGAAGUUUUCCCUCCAACAUACCUUCAACUAAACCACAUAUUUUUUAUCAUUAGCCCUCUCAACUCCAGGAAAUUUUUUUCAUUGUGUGUUUGGGUCAAGUACUCGAGUGUGAUCAUCCAUACCAAUCCUAAUCCGACUGCAGUUCUUGGGUUGUUUUCCUCCCAGCAUAUCCUUUUUCACAUAUAUCCAGACCAAAACUACCAUCCAUAACUAUAUCAGAAGUUUUUCCUCCACCAUACCUUCAACUAGAACACAUAUCUUUUUAUCAUUAGUCCUCUCAAUUCCAGGAAUAUUUUUCAUUGUGUGUUCAAGUCAAGCGCGCAAGUGUGAUCAUCCAUGACAAUCAUGAUCUAACUGCAGUUGCUAGCUUGUUUCUUCCCUGCACAUCCAUUUUCACAUAUAUCCAGAUCAAAACUACUAUCCAUAACGACAUCACCAGAACAUCACAAAUCACUGCAUAUUCAGCUUAGCCAAGGAACCCAAUAUAGCACCGAUCACCUC